UGGAACCACCUGAUCCCAUCCCGAACUCAGCAGUGAAACGAUGCAUCGCCGAUGGUAGUGUGGGGUUUCCCCAUGUGAGAGUAGGUCAUCGUC
Molecule: ribosomal RNA, 93 nt
Filed under: Pseudomonas fluorescens
Lineage: Bacteria; Pseudomonadati; Pseudomonadota; Gammaproteobacteria; Pseudomonadales; Pseudomonadaceae
Also listed under: 1 other name
Source: RNAcentral